UUUAGCACCAUUUUUUCUCUGUGUCUCAAUUUACAUGUAGAUGCCGUCGGGUACACGUCUCUUCGAGGCUAGCUGAUUGAAUGCCUAAUGGCAGUCAACUGUCUCUGGCCUUUUCUGGAAAAAUUCAGCGGAAAAGUCAAUUUGCGUGAAUUUUCUCGCCAAACUGCGGCUAUCGAUGCUUCUUGUUGGAUACAUAGGGCUUUGUAUUUGUCCAUAAGUCAAAGUGGAAAUCGAGAGAGGUGAGAAAUUUUAGUGAUGAUACUCUUACUUCGUUUAGAAAGGUGUUUUUUCGAUUAUAGAAGUCAAGUAUGUUUUGUUUUCAAUUGAAGAUUUGAUAGUAUAUUUCAAAGCUAUCUACAGACGGUGACGAACGCCGGCGUAAGGCCGUUAGUUGUCUUUGAUGGGCUGCCUUUACCAGCCAAGGCAGCCGAAGAGGAAAGAAGGAAAAGGUGAUAAUACAUCUACGUUGGAAAAAAUUUGUUUGUCCGUGGGUAUAAUUUACGUUGUUUCCCCGUACGAGUCAGAUGCCCAAAUAGCUUUCCUGCUUGGCAGUGACUGUGCGGAUUUUGCAAUUACUGAAGAUUCAGACCUCUUGGCAUACAGCUGCAAAAAGGUUUGUGCACUUAAUAUCCUGCCCCUUUUCAGAUCUAAGGUUUUCUUUUUGCUUUUCCCCUCAAAGGCUUUCGUAAGUUGUUGGCUUUUUCUGAAAAUUAGUUUUGUUUUGCUUUUUUCUUUCCAGAUUUCAUGUAUUAUUUCUUCAAUGUUUUUUUCUUCCAACACUGGCCCGAAAGAAUUCCAAGUUGAUUACUUUCCCCAAAGAAUUCCCCAAAUUUAAUAGCUUCCAUCUGUUUUGUUGAUGGGAAAGUCAAAUAAAAUUGCCUUUGGUUGGGAAUCUACCAUAUUGUCAAGGGCACCCAACGACAAUUUUCGGAAAAUAUCUGUUCGGAAGACGAUUUGAGAUCUAGAACUUUCGGAAAAUUUUUUGUAAAAUUUCUUGCUUGCCUUCCUCUCCCAGAAUUUUCGAACAUCUGAAAAUGGUAUAAUUGCCCAUUUUUAACGGAUUUUUAGACUAGAAAGCUCACCUAGAAUUCUCGGGAGCCUUCUUUCUGGCUGGAAUUUUC
This 1121-nucleotide unclassified non-coding RNA is filed under the name Stylophora pistillata. RNAcentral describes it as "exonuclease 1-like, transcript variant X1". The record is from RNAcentral. Lineage: Eukaryota; Metazoa; Cnidaria; Anthozoa; Scleractinia; Pocilloporidae.